Molecule: long non-coding RNA, 1390 nt
Organism: Lucilia cuprina (Australian sheep blowfly)
Lineage: Eukaryota; Metazoa; Arthropoda; Insecta; Diptera; Calliphoridae
Exons: 3
Source: RefSeq, a predicted model, not a curated record
CUUUUUGAUUUAGGGAAAAAAAUCUAUUGUUGAAAAAAAUUGGUCAGAAGUUUGGAGAGCAUAUACAAUUUGUUUGUGGUGCUCUGAAUUUUCAACUAAUUUACAAUAUUCAGAACUCAUGCAUGAGAGAAACAAUUAAUUACUGUUUAUGGACAUUGAUCGGAAGUAGCUAUGCAACUGGUUUGUUAUGCAUACGGAAAGUACAGAGGAAGAACUAACUUUCCCAUUGUGCGGUCGACAAAAAUCUGUUUCAUUCGAAAUACUUUAUAGAAAAAAGUGGUAUUCUUAGGUGAGGACUGACCUAAAUGAACUUUUAUCGUUUAAAGAUAUAAAAGUAAUGUUUACAAAAUUUGUUGCAAUCUAAUCGCCAGACUAUUUAGUUUCUUAUGAACUUGACUUUAUGAAGUGAACUUAAUCAAUUUGAUUGCAUACUCUAAAACUGUAUUGUUAUCAAAGGACUUUAAAUAACUUUUAAAGUUACUUAUCCAGUUUUAAGAUCAGUUUCAGAUUGACCUGACGAUUCGUAACUGAAACAAUAAUGCAUAUUGUCGUUGGGCGAUAUGUAGAAGAUAUGACACACUGGCUUUUUUAAAGUGUGAUUAGAGCACUUUUGAUUUACGCCUCGAUAAUCUGCUGGACGAACUAGGAACAAAUACAUAUAUAACAUACGAGGGUCAUGAACACUGAGCACAACAUAUCUCUGAAACUAUUGCUAUACAAUGUUCGAAUAGAAACAUUAGAUAUGUGGCGACCCUCACACCCUAGUGGCUCUUAUAUUUUGCGAAUUGGCCAAAGCCGGUACCAGGUCACGAUUACGAUUGCUUAUCACAAACUAAAAUUGUCAAAAACUGAAUAGAUUGACGCUUCAACAACGCUAUCAAAAGUAUUUAAAUUUAUUUUGAAAAUCAGUAAUUUACAUGCAUGUGCUCCAUCGGCCUUAACUUAAACUUAGUCUCUAAGACCGUGUGAUUCAACUCCUUUCGAUAAUUUCCUUUUGGGUCUACAUUGGACCUAAAUUGGAUGCCCAGAUGACGUUUCGUUAAGAACAACCGCAAAGCCAUUAUAACGGAAAACUAUAUUAAAAUAUUGAUUUUGGAUUCAAAUGGAAUUUUCGGGCUAAAACCCCGAAGUGAUUAAAUAAUUGUAAAAUAUAGAGUUAUAGUAAACAUUUUGAAAAUUGUUAUUAUAAAAAAUAUAAACAAAAAGACAGUCAGGGCUUUAAACUAUUUAAAAAAAUAUUUAAGCUAUUCAUUCAUGAGAUCUCUGAUACCUAAGUAUUUAAGUAUAUUUUUGACUGGUAAAUAUAAAAUUAAAUACAGUUGGUAACCCUUUAACCAUCUGACUAAGUAACUGAUUGCUAGUAUGAAUAAGUUUCUAAAACUAAGCUUUG